This is a long non-coding RNA of Exaiptasia diaphana, 1144 nucleotides long. RefSeq lists it as uncharacterized. Lineage: Eukaryota; Metazoa; Cnidaria; Anthozoa; Actiniaria; Aiptasiidae. The transcript has 2 exons. The record is from RefSeq and is a predicted model, not a curated record.
UGUACUAACUGUAUAUGAGUGGAAUAUUUGAACAACGAGGUCAUUAGGUGUGAGAAGUGAUCAGACGGACUGACGAGAGGCGAGCUGAUAUUAUUUCACUAAAGCAUUCAAAUCAAGUAGAAAAGGCCAAGUAUAACUACUUUGUGGGRAGAUUGUGAGGAGAAAUUUUCCAUUAAUUGAAAGUGUAAGUCUGAUUUUGACUUGAAGGCGGGAAACWUAGGUGCCUAAACAUGGCAUUCAGAUGCACAAAACGUCGAAACCUGUAUCAAAAGCUUUCAACAGAAGAAGAAGAAAACUCUGAUGUUUUAAGUGAGAACAACAAGCGGCAAAGYAUCGACAACGAUGCGUUCAGCUUCGGUAGUCAAGAAUUGGCGGCAAGGGCAGUGGAAGAGAAACAGACUCGUGAACAGUUUUUACAAGGUUGCGGUGACCACCGCAGACAGGCCGUUUGUGAAAAGAUUGAAAGAGAAAUGCUAGAUGAGCGAGGAAUAAGUCUGCGAAAACUUCGAAAAUACAUGAUACUGGAACUGAUUCUUCGAGAAGUGAACUUGUUGUAAGAAGAUAUUUGAGUGGCCUUUCUAAUAUGUCAAGGGAAUUCAGCCGGAAUUGCUUUUCACUUCAAAAAGCAGUUAACAAGAAACAGAACAAUAGGCUUUGGUGGUCACCUUAGGAAAUUGGUUGUGAAGGUUUUGUUCGUGGAAUUUUGUAAAUGUGUUUGAAAAAAGGUCGCCUGGAUCUCGAGUGCUAUAUAGAAUUGAAACGAAAACAUUCUGUUUAUAGUUUUGCUGGUCUUCACGUGUACUGACAUUGAACACAGACACAUUACUAGAGAAGUACUAGUUUGAGAUGAAAUCGUUAUCUUUCAGAACGCAAUUUUUGUACUAAUCCAAUUGGCAAGGCAAUUCCCUAAUAGAACCUGAGUAUAUACUGUGAUAUUUCCGUUCUACUAAUGGCUGACAAGUACCUACCACGGACAACAGUCAAAAUACAGCUUGUCGAAAACAACCAUAUAUUUUGUAUAUAGCUUUUCUUUUUACGCAACAAAAUUUGAAUAAUAAUUGGAAAAGUGAUUACAUUGUAUGUUGAAUACGUUAAGCUAAACAAGUUUGUUUAUUAUAUUGGUCACCAGUUGGUAAAGAAACGA